AGAGUUGAUCAUGGCUCAAGAACGAACGCUGGCGGCGCGUCUUAAGCAUGCAAGUCGAACGGCAAGAGGUAGCAAUACCUCCUAGAGUGGCGGACUGGUGAGUAACACGUGGGUGACAUACCCUUCAGAUGGGGAUAGCUAUUAGAAAUAGUAGAUAAUACCGAAUACGAGCACAGGGGUUAGAGAUCUGUGAGGAAAGGAGCUAAGGCUCCGCUGAAGGAAUGGCCUGCGGCCCAUUAGCUAGUUGGUGAGGUAAGAGCCCACCAAGGCGACGAUGGGUAUCCGGCCUUAGAGGGUGAACGGACACAUUGGGACUGAGAUACGGCCCAGACUCCUACGGGAGGCAGCAGCUAAGAAUAUUCCGCAAUGGACGAAAGUCUGACGGAGCGACGCCGCGUGGAUGAAGAAGGCCGGAAGGUUGUAAAAUCCUUUUGAAACUGAAGAAUAAGCGUUGUAGGGAAUGACAGCGUGGUGACAGUAGGUUUUGAAUAAGCAACGGCUAAUUACGUGCCAGCCGCAGC
RNAcentral lists this ribosomal RNA (521 nucleotides) under uncultured bacterium. Its description in RNAcentral is "bacterial SSU rRNA". It matches the Rfam family "Bacterial small subunit ribosomal RNA", at positions 8 to 518 of the family's 1533-position model. The record is from RNAcentral.